UUCAUGUUAGACUCAAUCAAUAAAGCAACAAAAACAGAGACCCUGCAGAGAGCAAGAGAUGAGCCUUUGAAAUACAAAGGAAAAGAAAUAACAGUUCUAAAAUAAAUUCCAAGAAGAUUUAGAGAUUUAAGGAAGGAAUAUCAAUUUUUGACAAAGUGUUUAAUCAAAAAGGGUGUGAAUUUUAGAUGGCUGAUACCAGAGGGAAUAUUGGUGACCUGGCAGGAGCAAAGACAUAGACUAGAUUCAAUAGAGAAGGUGGAACAAUUCUAUGAUAAUUAUUUCAGAUCGCAGGAGGAAGAGAGAAUGAGAGAGGAAG
Non-coding RNA from Pseudonaja textilis, 316 nucleotides. The record is from RefSeq and is a predicted model, not a curated record. NCBI's taxonomy places the organism in Eukaryota, Metazoa, Chordata, Lepidosauria, Squamata, Elapidae.